GGUUUUUUAUAUUUUAUUUUUGUGUUUUUUUUUUAUUUUACUUAAAAUUUUCUAAAAACAUACAAGAAUGUUUUGGCGUCCGCCAUCUAACUCAUGGUAAUGUCGGGAGGCAGCGGCGGUAUGGAGCCCGAAGGCGACCGGGAGAGGAGGCUCAGCGACGACGUGGUGACGUUCCUGCGCAAGCGGAGCGACCAUGACGCGCCGCGCUAUGCCGCCAGGAUCAAGACGUAUUUGGAGAUGAAUAGGAAGCGUCGCCGGGCAACAGAAGCGCGCCGCAACUCCGAACACGACAAGACGUCCGCC
Molecule: long non-coding RNA, 303 nt
Organism: Colias croceus (clouded yellow)
Lineage: Eukaryota; Metazoa; Arthropoda; Insecta; Lepidoptera; Pieridae
Exons: 3
Source: RefSeq, a predicted model, not a curated record